AGCAGCCGCGGUAAUUCCAGCUCCAAUAGCGUAUAUUAAAGUUGUUGCAGUUAAAAGGCUCGUAGUUGAACUUCGGGAUUUGCCCAUUGGUCAGGCUUAACUGUCUGCACUGGUGUGACGAGUUCCUACCUUCUGAGGAAUCUCCAUGUCAUUCAGUUGGUGUGGGGGGAAAUCAGGACUGUUACUUUGAAAAAUUAGAGUGUUUAAAGCAGGCAUCCGUCUGAAUACAUUAGCAUGGAAUAAUAAAAUAGGACGGUUUGGUUCUAUUUUGUUGGUUUCUAGGAUCACCGUAAUGAUUAAUAGGGAUAGUUGGGGGCAUUAGUAUUCAAUUGUCAGAGGUGAAAUUCUUGGAUUUAUUGAAGACUAACUACUGCGAAAGCAUUUGCCAAGGAUGUUUUCAUUAAUCAAGAACGAAAGUUAGGGGAUCGAAGACGAUCAGGUACCGUCGUAGUCUUAACCAUAAACUAUGCCGACUAGGGAUCGGACGAAGUUAAUUUUUA
This 500-nucleotide ribosomal RNA is filed under the name uncultured Diversispora. RNAcentral describes it as "SSU rRNA". It matches the Rfam family "Eukaryotic small subunit ribosomal RNA", at positions 569 to 1072 of the family's 1831-position model. Lineage: Eukaryota; Fungi; Glomeromycota; Glomeromycetes; Diversisporales; Diversisporaceae. The record is from RNAcentral.